CCGGUAAACGGCGGCCGUAACUAUAACGGUCCUAAGGUAGCGAAAUUCCUUGUCGGGUAAGUUCCGACCUGCACGAAUGGCGUAAUGAUGGCCAGGCUGUCUCCACCCGAGACUCAGUGAAAUUGAACUCGCUGUGAAGAUGCAGUGUACCCGCGGCAAGACGGAAAGACCCCGUGAACCUUUACUAUAGCUUGACACUGAACAUUGAGCCUUGAUGUGUAGGAUAGGUGGGAGGCUUUGAAGUGUGGACGCCAGUCUGCAUGGAGCCGACCUUGAAAUACCACCCUUUAAUGUUUGAUGUUCUAACGUUGGCCCGUUAUC
Molecule: ribosomal RNA, 321 nt
Filed under: Escherichia coli
Lineage: Bacteria; Pseudomonadati; Pseudomonadota; Gammaproteobacteria; Enterobacterales; Enterobacteriaceae
Description: partial 23S ribosomal RNA
Rfam family: Bacterial large subunit ribosomal RNA
Source: RNAcentral